This 1483-nucleotide ribosomal RNA is filed under the name uncultured prokaryote. RNAcentral describes it as "partial 16S ribosomal RNA". It matches the Rfam family "Bacterial small subunit ribosomal RNA". The record is from RNAcentral.
UAGAGUUUGAUCCUGGCUCAGGACGAACGCUGGCGGUGCGCCUUAUGCAUGCAAGUUGAGCGAAGCUUUUUUGUAGUUUACUACGAAAAAUGACUGAGCGGCGAACGGGUGAGUAACGCGUGAGCAAUCUACCUUAGUUACUGGGAUACCCCGAGGAAACUCGGAUUAAUACCGGAUAUUCUUAUUUUUUCACAUGAAGUUUUAAGGAAAGGUCAGCCGAACUAAGAUGAGCUAGCGUUCUAUCAGCUAGUUGGUGAGGUAAAAGCUUACCAAGGCUACGACGGAUAGCUGGUCUGAGAGGACGAUCAGCCACACUGGGACUGAGACACGGCCCAGACUCCUACGGGAGGCUGCAGCAGGGAAUAUUGUGCAAUGAACGAAAGUUUGACACAGCGACACCGCGUGUGGGAUGACGGAUCUAGGUUUGUAAACCACUUUCAGGAGGGAAGAAAAUGACGGUACCUCCACAAGAAGACCCGGCCAACUAUGUGCCAGCAGCCGCGGUAAUACAUAGGGGUCAAGCGUUGUCCGGAUUUAUUGGGCGUAAAGAGCUCGUAGGCGGUUCAACAAGUCGGUCGUGAAAGUUCAGGGCUCAACCCUGAAAUGUCGAUCGAUACUGUUGUGACUAGGAUACGGUAGAGGUGAGUGGAAUUCCCGGUGUAGGGGUGAAAUCCGUAGAUAUCGGGAGGAACACCAGUGGCGAAGGCGGCCAUCUGGACGGUGACUGACGCUGAGACUCGAAAGCGUGGGUAGCAAACAGGAUUAGAUACCCUGGUAGUCCACACCGUAAACGGUGAGAGCUCGUCGUAGUGGGUAUUGACCCCUGCUGUGACCAAGUUAACGCAUGAAGCUCUCCGCCUGGGAAGUACGGUCGCAAGACUAAAACUCAAAGAAAUUGACGGGGGCCCGCACAAGCGGUGGAGCAUGUUGUUUAAUUCGAAGCAACGCGCAGAACCUUACCUGGAUUUGACAUCUCCGGAAUCUCUCUGAAAGGAGAGAGUGCCUUCGGGAACCGGAUGACAGGUGCUGCAUGGCUGUCGCCAGCUCGUGUCGUGAGAUGUUGGGUUAAGUCCCGUAACGAGCGCAACCCUUAUCCUUAGUUGCCAGCACAUAAUGGUGGGAACUCUAGGGAGACUGCCGGUGAUAAACCGGAGGAAGGUGGGGACGACGUCAAGUCAUCAUGGCCCUUAUGGGUAGGGCUACACACGUGCUACAAUGGUCGGUACAGAGGGCUGCAAACUCGCGAGAGUAAGCUAAUCUCAGAAAGUCGAUCUUAGUCCGGAUUGGAGUCUGCAACUCGACUCCAUGAAGUUGGAAUCGCUAGUAAUCGCGGAUCAGAAUUGUCGCGGUGAAUACGUUCCCGGGCCUUGUACUCACCGCCCGUCACACCAUGGGAGUUGAAUUCAUUCGAAGCGGGGAUGCUAAAAUAGCUACCUUCCACAGUGGAUUUAGUAACUAGGGUGAAGUCGUAACAAGGUAACCA